GGGGGGGCCUACAUUUUCCUGGAUUAUCUUGUGAUCUUGGGGCAAAAAGUGACCUUCCUCCAUUUCUCCACAUUUUGUUUGGAUGCCAAUCUGCAACCAGCACCUGUGUUUGCCACCACAAGGCCUGAUGCUGCCUUUCACCAUCAUCUGGGGAGGCCUGUGAAGCAGUUACCACCUCUCAGCUGGGUUUCAGUAAUGACCUGUAAGAGGGUAUAAAUGAAGUCAUGUGGAUCACCUUGCCUCUUUCAGUGAGCAUAGUGCAGGCAGUUACUGAGCACCUGCUUUGUGGGAGAAAGUUAUGCUUGCUCUUAGUCUGUGGUUUCCGUGUGUUAUCAAAAGCAAUCAGCAUUCUAUGGAGCCCUCAAACUUUACUGUGAGGAUCAUCACUAAGAAGCAUUUAGUGCAGAAGGGUACCAGCCAGCACCAGCUUCACCGUUCCCUACUCCAUGUUGCGAGUGGAGUUUGUAG
This 468-nucleotide long non-coding RNA is filed under the name Anas platyrhynchos platyrhynchos (common mallard). RNAcentral describes it as "lncRNA (ENSAPLG00000017942.1)". The record is from RNAcentral. Lineage: Eukaryota; Metazoa; Chordata; Aves; Anseriformes; Anatidae.